This 70-nucleotide transfer RNA is filed under the name Alytes almogavarii. RNAcentral describes it as "Alytes obstetricans almogavarii tRNA-Trp". It matches the Rfam family "tRNA". Rfam says of the family: Transfer RNA (tRNA) molecules are approximately 80 nucleotides in length. Lineage: Eukaryota; Metazoa; Chordata; Amphibia; Anura; Alytidae. The record is from RNAcentral.
AGAAACUUAGGUUAAUUUAGACCAAGAGCCUUCAAAGCCCUAAGCAGAAGUUAAAAUCUUCUAGUUUCUG